This 468-nucleotide ribosomal RNA is filed under the name uncultured bacterium. Its description in RNAcentral is "partial 16S ribosomal RNA". It matches the Rfam family "Bacterial small subunit ribosomal RNA", at positions 28 to 507 of the family's 1533-position model. The record is from RNAcentral.
GACGAACGCUGGCGGCGUGCUUAACACAUGCAAGUCGAACGGUGAAGCUCCAGCUUGCUGGAGUGGAUCAGUGGCGAACGGGUGAGUAACACGUGAGCAACCUGCCCCUGACUCUGGAAUAAGCGCUGGAAACGGCGUCUAAUACUGGAUACGAGAAGGGUCCGCAUGGGCACCUUCUGGAAAGUUUUUCGGUUGGGGAUGGGCUCGCGGCCUAUCAGCUUGUUGGUGAGGUAAUGGCUCACCAAGGCGACGACGGAUAGCCGGCCUGAGAGGGCGACCGGCCACACUGGGACUGAGACACGGCCCAGACUCCUACGGGAGGCAGCAGUGGGGAAUAUUGCACAAUGGGCGAAAGCCUGAUGCAGCGACGCCGCGUGAGGGAUGACGGCCUUCGGGUUGUAAACCUCUUUCAGCAGGGAAGAAGCGAAAGUGACGGUACCUGCAGAAGAAGCACCGGCUAACUACGUG